Long non-coding RNA from Argiope bruennichi, 357 nucleotides. RefSeq lists it as uncharacterized. Lineage: Eukaryota; Metazoa; Arthropoda; Arachnida; Araneae; Araneidae. The record is from RefSeq and is a predicted model, not a curated record. The transcript has 3 exons.
UUUCUCUCAAAUAUCUUUUAAUGGAUCCCCUUGCUAGUAAGUACAGAUGGCCGACGAAAAUCCGUAGUUAGUAUUUCUUCGAAGUUUGUUGUAGAAGCUAUUUCAGUUGGAUUUUUUUGGCUUUAUCAACGGAAGAACGAUGAAAUUUAGGAAUAUUUGGGAUUGGAAAAUGACAUUGAUGUUUAUGAGAUGGAGAACAGGUCAUGUGGUUUCAUGACGUUUACAUUAGGGACCUUGUAAUUUCGAGCCAUGGUUAGAUAACGAGAUCUGCAUCGGGGUCGACACUUUCGUCUCUAAGAUUCCACACCAUAGCAUUGGGAAGAUGCUUGACCCUCAAGGUCAGAUUUUGGACGCCGG